This 253-nucleotide ribosomal RNA is filed under the name uncultured bacterium. RNAcentral's name for it is "partial 16S ribosomal RNA". It matches the Rfam family "Bacterial small subunit ribosomal RNA", at positions 524 to 776 of the family's 1533-position model. The record is from RNAcentral.
UACGAAGGGUGCAAGCGUUACUCGGAAUUACUGGGCGUAAAGCGUGCGUAGGUGGUUCGUUAAGUCUGAUGUGAAAGCCCUGGGCUCAACCUGGGAAUGGCAUUGGAGACUGGCGACCUAGAGUGCGGUAGAGGGUAGUGGAAUUCCCGGUGUAGCAGUGAAAUGCGUAGAGAUCGGGAGGAACAUCCGUGGCGAAGGCGACUACCUGGACCAGCACUGACACUGAGGCACGAAAGCGUGGGGAGCAAACAGG